AAUGGCAGGUACAGAGGGGUGCUACCGGGUGACCGGAUGCCGAUCUCGAAAACCUGUCCCAGUUCGGACUGGAGUCUGCAACCCGACUCCACGAAGUUGGAUUCGCUAGUAAUCGCGCAUCAGCCAUGGCGCGGUGAAUACGUUCCCGGGCCUUGUACACACCGCCCGUCAAGCCAUGGGAGCCGGGGGCGCCUGAAGUCCGGGACCGCGAGGACCGGCCUAAGGCGAAACUGGUGACUGGGGCUAAGUCGUAACAAGGUAGC
This 263-nucleotide ribosomal RNA is filed under the name uncultured bacterium. RNAcentral's name for it is "partial 16S ribosomal RNA". It matches the Rfam family "Bacterial small subunit ribosomal RNA", at positions 1229 to 1500 of the family's 1533-position model. The record is from RNAcentral.